This 744-nucleotide ribosomal RNA is filed under the name uncultured bacterium. Its description in RNAcentral is "bacterial SSU rRNA". It matches the Rfam family "Bacterial small subunit ribosomal RNA", at positions 8 to 796 of the family's 1533-position model. The record is from RNAcentral.
AGAGUUUGAUCAUGGCUCAGAACGAACGCUGGCGGCAGGCCUCAAACAUGCAAGUCUAGGGGGUGUAGCAAUACACCACCGGCGGACGGGUGCGUAACACGUGGGAAUAUACCUUUCGGUACGGAACAACUGAGGGAAACUUCAGCUAAUACCGUAUACGUCCUAACGGAGAAAGAUUUAUCGCCGAAGGAUUAGCCCGCGCUCGAUUAGCUAGUCGGUGAGGUAAUGGCUCACCAAGGCUACGAUCGAUAGCUGUUCUGAGAGGAAGAUCAGCCACACUGGGACUGAGACACGGCCCAGACUCCUACGGGAGGCAGCAGUUGGGAAUCUUGGACAAUGGGGGAAACCCUGAUCCAGCCAUGCCGCGUGAGUGAUGAAGGCCUUCGGGUUGUAAAGCUCUUUUACCCGGGAAGAUAAUGACUGUACCGGGAGAAUAAGCUCCGGCUAACUUCGUGCCAGCAGCCGCGGUAAUACGAAGGGGGCUAGCGUUGUUCGGAAUUACUGGGCGUAAAGCGCGCGCAGGCGGUUUCUCAAGUCAGUGGUGAAAGCCCGGAGCUCAACUCCGGAACUGCCAUUGAAACUGUGAGACUUGAGGACGAGAGAGGUGAGUGGAAUUCCCAGUGUAGAGGUGAAAUUCGUAGAUAUUGGGAAGAACACCGGUGGCGAAGGCGGCUCACUGGCUCGUUUCUGACGCUCAGGCGCGACAGCGUGGGGAUCAAACAGGAUUAGAUACCCUAGUAGUCC